Molecule: ribosomal RNA, 291 nt
Filed under: Hymenoptera sp. WBY-2004
Lineage: Eukaryota; Metazoa; Arthropoda; Insecta; Hymenoptera
Also listed under: 1 other name
Description: partial 16S ribosomal RNA
Rfam family: Bacterial large subunit ribosomal RNA
Source: RNAcentral
GGACGAUAAGACCCUAUAGAAUUUAAAAAUACUUAUGACAAAACUAUUUUUUUGUUGGGGUGACAGUAAAUAAACUUUUAUGAAAUUUUCAUUGUUGAAUGGAUUAAUGAUCCUAAUAUUUAGAUAAAAAGAUAAAAUUACCUUAGGGAUAACAGCAUAAUUUUUUUUAAAAGAUCUUAUUAAUAAAAAAGAUUAUGACCUCGAUGUUGAAUUAAAAUAAAAUUUUGGUGUAGAAGCUUAAUUUUUUAGUCUGUUCGACUUUAAAUUUUACAUGAUCUGAGUUCAGACCGG